Oxyura jamaicensis (ruddy duck) is the source of this 189-nucleotide long non-coding RNA. RefSeq lists it as uncharacterized. The record is from RefSeq and is a predicted model, not a curated record. The transcript is spliced from 3 exons. NCBI's taxonomy places the organism in Eukaryota, Metazoa, Chordata, Aves, Anseriformes, Anatidae.
ACUGAAAGGCUGCAAUUAGGUCACCCCAGAGCCUUCUCUUCUCCAGGCUGAACAGCCCCAGCUCUCUCAGCUUUUCUUCAAACUGAAGGAGAUUGAAGGAAAGGGCCAAACUAGAAAAAAAAAUGAACUACGUUAUAAGCUUUCUGUAACCCACGAAGACAAAAGAUUUCAAACAAAAGACUUCAUUUU